GACACGACUCUCGGCAACGGAUAUCUCGGCUCUCGCAUCGAUGAAGAACGUAGCGAAAUGCGAUACCUGGUGUGAAUUGCAGAAUCCCGCGAACCAUCGAGUCUUUGAACGCAAGUUGCGCCCGAGGCCACCCGGUUGAGGGCACGCCUGCCUGGGCGUCACGC
RNAcentral lists this ribosomal RNA (164 nucleotides) under Brachypodium sylvaticum. RNAcentral's name for it is "5.8S ribosomal RNA". It matches the Rfam family "5.8S ribosomal RNA". Rfam says of the family: 5.8S ribosomal RNA (5.8S rRNA) is a component of the large subunit of the eukaryotic ribosome. It is transcribed by RNA polymerase I as part of the 45S precursor that also contains 18S and 28S rRNA. The record is from RNAcentral. Lineage: Eukaryota; Viridiplantae; Streptophyta; Magnoliopsida; Poales; Poaceae.